UUUAAUUGAAGAGUUUGAUCAUGGCUCAGAUUGAACGCUGGCGGCAGGCCUAACACAUGCAAGUCGAGCGGUAACAGGGGAAGCUUGCUUCUCGCUGACGAGC
RNAcentral lists this ribosomal RNA (103 nucleotides) under Providencia rettgeri. Its description in RNAcentral is "partial 16S ribosomal RNA". It matches the Rfam family "Bacterial small subunit ribosomal RNA", at positions 1 to 96 of the family's 1533-position model. The record is from RNAcentral. Lineage: Bacteria; Pseudomonadati; Pseudomonadota; Gammaproteobacteria; Enterobacterales; Morganellaceae.